This is a non-coding RNA of Rattus norvegicus (Norway rat), 4134 nucleotides long. NCBI's taxonomy places the organism in Eukaryota, Metazoa, Chordata, Mammalia, Rodentia, Muridae. The record is from RefSeq and is a predicted model, not a curated record.
AAUGAUGUUAUGGUUGGGGGGGUCACCACAGCACGAGGAGCUGUAUUAAAGGGUUGCAGCAUUAGGAAGGUUGAGAACCACUGCUCGGAACUGUUGGUUUAUUGACUCACCACGAGUGUUUACUGUGCACCUGCUACAUGAAGCCCCAAGAAUGCUCCGGAAGAUGAGCAGGCAUGGGGCACGCAUUUCCUGGUGGAUGAGAGAUAACAGUGACAAAUGGCUUGCGCUUUGCAAGUUGUAGGGUGUUAGGGUUUUGCACAGUGAGUCAGGGAGAGAGUAGAGGGUUCUAGAGAAAGAAGCAACCUAAUUUAAUCUGCGUUUGAAAGAAUUUCUCUGGCUAUUAUGUGGGAUGUGAGCUGGAGGUGAGGAGAACGGGGAAUGGCAGGUGGGGGCACGUAGAAACUCCAUAGGUUCCCAGGAGACAAAGCCAGUGAUGGAUUCUGGACUGGGCAGUGUUGAUAAAAUUUGCAGAUGGACUGACUGGCUGGCUGCUGGGAUAACAAAUACAAGGAAGGAUGAUUAAAUUUCUUGGUUUGAGCAGUUGGGGAUUCUGUGUUUCCAAAUAGGGGAGAGUGGAUGAGGAACAGGCUGAGGAGGAAACAUCUUGGGCUCUCCUUUGAACUGGGACAUUUAGAACUGUGACAGGAGAAGGGAAUACAGAUUAGUUGGAUUUUGCACCAGUGCCACAUUCUUGGGAACUCUCUGAGCUAGAAAUCGAGACUUGGAAGCAAUUGGUCACGGGACUGCGUGUGGCUAGCUAAGGGGAGAAUGCAGGCAGAAGACAAAAGAACCCAGAUACAGGGCUCUCUACACAUUACAAGAGGCAGAUGUCAAGGAGAAAAAGGUGCUACAUCCCUUCCUGCUCCCACAUCGCAAAUCAACUUCACAACACCAGUGACCAAUAAAGUAGGAGAGGCGCUGAGAGCAGAGCGUCACGGAAGAUAAAAAUGCUGUGAUCCAGGGAGCAGAUGGGUGACAUUGAGUAAGAUGAGAUGGCCACAGAAAAGGGACCAUCAGAUGUGAGACCAUGCAGUCAACUGUGCAGGAUUGCAGGAGUGGAGCCCUCUGAUACAGGGAGCUGCACUGUGGCCAAACAUCGCUAUUCCUUCAGGUUUGGAAACAAAUCGAGACUGUUUUCUUCCUGAGAAGCAAACACUUCAGAUAACUAGUGGCGGUUCUUAGAAAGAAUGUGAAUGGAUCUCCUCGCCUCCAAAGCUAUCUGGAAGCCUGGAGAGUAUAUUUAUGAGGAAAGAGGUUUGUAUAAAUACUUUCUUCAGUGACCUGUAUGGUAGGGUUGAGCCUGAGAAUUUUGUGUUCAGUGAAUGAUACCAAAUUAGGAGCUGCUAACAUGCCAGACAUCGAGGGCUAAUCUCACUAGGACCUUUCACACUGUCACGGACACCAUGAAACAAGAUACAUACACACACAAGCGAGAGUGGGUUUCUCAGAGCUUUGGGUGACAACAUUGUCCCCACGUACAGAACCAAGGAGCGGGUGAAUGCUCAAACCAGCAGGGGCUGGAGAGGUGAUGGCUCAGCAGGUAAGCGCACUUGUCCUUGCAGAGAGAGCACUGGGUUGGGUUCCCGGGACCCACGUGACAUCUCACAACCAUCAGUAACUCCGGUUCGGGGAGGUCUGAUAUCCUCUUCUGACUUCUGAGGACACCAGCAUGCAUGUGGUGCAUAGACAUACAUGUGAACAAAACACUCAUGCACAUAAAAUUUUUUUUAAAAGGAGAGAGGAAGUGCUGGGGAGAGAGAAUAGGGUGGUGCUGGAUCCCUCUUUGAAUAGGACCGUGCUGUGUGCCCCAGCUUGGCCUGAUGGUUAGGAGCCAGUCUGGCCAUGCGCAGUGCUGAGAUCUCAGGCACACACCCCCACACCAGGCUGAUGCUGGCAUGCGAACGAGGAAAUGACCAGCAAAAUUCCUGACUCCCUUUCCCGUAUAUGGCAACCUCGGGGGCCUAACUGGAGAGCACUCCUAACCACUGUGAAGCUUUCCAAUAUAGGAAAACAUCCCAAAAACUGAGGUCCUGGAAAAGAUGGGUGGGCUAAGAUACCGGAAGGGACGGUCUCUUGGAGGAAUUUCAAGCUAAUUGGAACUGUUUAAACUGAAAACUGUUUAAAAGUCUUCAGGUACUCGUGGGCAGUAGUCACGUGCUGAGCAUUUCGGGGCUCUCUCUUUAUUGGAAGACACAAGUGGAAACAAGAAUAAAAUAUGAGAGAAUUUAGAUUCCUCCAGAUCCCAAGACAGGCUUGCAAGAGGGUGGAUUUGAGUCCCGGCACCUCCCUCUACAUCCGAUGAGGGACCAUUAGGCAUGGAUGCGGUCACUUUACCUCAAAGCUGCCUCUCUUUUUCCCUCAGUUCAAUGGGGAGAUGAGCAGUGUUUGCUCACUCAUAGUUCGUGCUGAGGAUGCUGUAUGCAAAACUCUGACAAUUGUAUGUUUUGUUUUAUUUGUUUGUUUGAGACAGGGUCUCUCAAUGUAGCUUUGGCUAUCCCUGGUAUUCACUGUAGACCAGGCUACCCUUGAGCCUGCCUCUGGAGUACUGAGAUUAAAGGAGGCACCACCACAACCUGCAGUCAUAUGAUCACAGUGGAUGAUAAGCCUCUGGGAAAGGUCUCUAGAAGGAUCCCAAAGUCUACUGACACUUAAAAGCUGUCUUCAACUUAGGGUUAAGUUCAAGUUCUCAUGGUGUCUCUGUCAGACACAGUACCGACAUAGUAUUCAGUUACAAUUUCAAAAUUUUAUCACUUUAUCACUGCCUCAUUUUAUCACUUAAAAUUUUUAUUUACUAUUACUACUGUGUUUGUGUAUAAGGGUGUGUGUGAGCAUGCCAGGGUGUGUGUGUGUGUGUGUGUGUGUGUGUGUGUGAGCAUGCCAGGGUGUGUGUGUGUGAGCAUGCCAGGGUGUGUGUGUGUGAGCAUGCCAGGGUGUGUGUGUGUGAGCAUGCCAGGGUGUGUGUGUGUGUGUGUGUGUGUGUGUGUGUGUGUGUGCAUGCCAGGGUGUGUGUGUGUGCAUGCCAGGGUGUGUGUGUGUGAGCAUGCCAGGGUGUGCUUUUGGAGAUUGAAGUGUAAUGAACAGGAGUUGGUACUCUCCUUCUACUAUGCGGGUCUUGGGGAUUGAACCCAGGUGGUCAGGCUCAGGAGCAAGCACCUUCAUGAGGGAACCACCUCAACCACCCACUUCCCUCAUUUUCUAUGUCACAAAACUAUAGUCCUUGAACCCAACUGUGACUUCCUGCGUGUGGCACAGAUAUUCAACCACGUGGUUCCUUUUGUAGGGUUCACAACGGCUGGAAACUCAACUCAAGGCCUUAUACACACUGCAUGUGCUUUUCUAUUGAGCCACAUCCCAGUCCUUUGAUUUUGAUUUUGUGAUAAAAUUGCAACACAUUGAUCCAGGCUGUUUAGAACUCACUGUGUCAACCAGGUCUGGUCUUGAAUUUGGGAUUAUAGGAACCAUACCCAGCAAUCACUAAGCCAUGGAUUUUAAACCUGGAAGUGGCUCAUGAGAGAAUAUGUUGGUGCUUUGAUAUUCGAGUGGUAAUAACUAAUCUUCAUAACAUGUUGUGGAUUGUACUCAUAUCAGAAUUCUGUGUUAUUCUGAAGCCAGUGUAAUUCAAUUAAAAUUGCAUUCAGUUCAACUAGCCAUCACUGAGCCCCUGUGGGAGGUGCUUAGAAAGACAAAUAACACUUGUUCCCUGCUAUUGUGGACCUUACAGCCUAACUAACAGUAAGAGAAGAACCAAAAGUCGUUCAUUCGGCUACCCUUCGAGAGACACUGUAUUUCCAUUACAAUCACCAUGGAAGCAUAGCGAUGUUUUAUACGUACUCAGCCCAGGGAGUGGCACAGUUAGAAGGUGUGGCUCUGUUGGAGUAGGUGUGUCGCUAUGGUCGUGGACUAUAAGACCCUCAUCCUAGCUGUCUGGAAUUCGGCCUUCUGCUAGAAGCCUUCAGAAGAACAUGCAGAACUCUCAGCUCCUCCUGCACCAUGCCUGCCUGGAUGCUGCCAUGCUCCUGCCUUGAUGAUAAUGGACUGAACCUCUGAAGCUGUAAGCCAGCUCCAAUCAACUGUUCUUAUGAGAGUUGCCUUGGUCAUGGUGUCUGUUAACAACAUUAAAACCCUAAGACAGGA